GCAAGUCUAGCGGAAACGAGUUAUCUGAACCUUCGGGGAACGAUAACGGCGUCGAGCGGCGGACGGGUGAGUAAUGCCUGGGAAAUUGCCCUGAUGUGGGGGAUAACUAUUGGAAACGAUAGCUAAUACCGCAUAACGUCUACGGACCAAAGAGGGGGACCUUCGGGCCUCUCGCUUCAGGAUAUGCCCAGGUGGGAUUAGCUAGUUGGUGAGGUAAUGGCUCACCAAGGCGACGAUCCCUAGCUGGUCUGAGAGGAUGAUCAGCCACACUGGAACUGAGACACGGUCCAGACUCCUACGGGAGGCAGCAGUGGGGAAUAUUGCACAAUGGGCGCAAGCCUGAUGCAGCCAUGCCGCGUGUAUGAAGAAGCCUUCGGGUUGUAAAGUACUUUCAGUCGUGAGGAAGGC
This 408-nucleotide ribosomal RNA is filed under the name Vibrio sp. P5-3. RNAcentral describes it as "bacterial SSU rRNA". It matches the Rfam family "Bacterial small subunit ribosomal RNA", at positions 57 to 452 of the family's 1533-position model. Lineage: Bacteria; Pseudomonadati; Pseudomonadota; Gammaproteobacteria; Vibrionales; Vibrionaceae. The record is from RNAcentral.